UACGUAGGGUGCAGGCGUUAAUCGGAAUUACUGGGCGUAAAGCGUGCGCAGGCGGCCUCUUAAGUCAGAUGUGAAAUCCCCGGGCUUAACCUGGGAACUGCGUUUGAAACUGGGAGGCUUGAGUGUGGAAGAGGGGGGUGGAAUUCCAGGUGUAGCAGUGAAAUGCGUAGAGAUCUGGAGGAACACCGAUGGCGAAGGCAGCCCCCUGGGCUAACACUGACGCUCCAUGCACGAAAGCGUGGGGAGCAAACAGG
RNAcentral lists this ribosomal RNA (254 nucleotides) under uncultured bacterium. RNAcentral describes it as "partial 16S ribosomal RNA". It matches the Rfam family "Bacterial small subunit ribosomal RNA", at positions 524 to 776 of the family's 1533-position model. The record is from RNAcentral.